This 318-nucleotide ribosomal RNA is filed under the name uncultured bacterium. RNAcentral's name for it is "bacterial SSU rRNA". It matches the Rfam family "Bacterial small subunit ribosomal RNA", at positions 199 to 507 of the family's 1533-position model. The record is from RNAcentral.
UUAGAGCGGCGUAAGCUGUCGCUAAGGGAUGGCCCCGCGGUGCAUUAGCUAGUUGGUAAGGUAACGGCUUACCAAGGCGACGAUGCAUAGCCGAGUUGAGAGACUGAUCGGCCACAUUGGGACUGAGACACGGCCCAAACUCCUACGGGAGGCAGCAGUGGGGAAUCUUCCGCAAUGGGCGCAAGCCUGACGGAGCAACGCCGCGUGAGUGAAGAAGGUUUUCGGAUCGUAAAGCUCUGUUGAGAGGGACGAGAGGCAAGGCUAGGAAAUGAGCUUUGUAGGACGGUACCUUUCGAGGAAGCCACGGCUAACUACGUG